GGUUCCUCCCACACUCUAGGGUCUCGCUGCAGCUUCCAUACAUUCACCAGUAUGCGAGUCCCACGAGGCACAGCAUAGCCUGCAACACAGCAAUCUUCGAUGGCCUCGUGAGGGACCAGGAGUUGGGAGGGCGGGUAGAGGCGGAAAACUUCCUUAACGACAGCCUGGAGGUAGACUAGCAUCUUAAUGUCCGACUCCUCCACCAAUCUCUCUCUCCCAACAUGAAAAUCGAGCUCAUCCUGUACCUUCUUCAGGACUUUCUUGUUGUUCACAAGCGCUGCAACGGUCCAUGUCAUUGUGACCGAUGUGGUGUCAGC
This 317-nucleotide unclassified non-coding RNA is filed under the name Hevea brasiliensis (rubber tree). The record is from RNAcentral. Lineage: Eukaryota; Viridiplantae; Streptophyta; Magnoliopsida; Malpighiales; Euphorbiaceae.